CGAAAGCCUGACGGAGCAAGACCGCGUGAGGGAGGAAGGCUUUUGGGUUGUAAACCUCUUUUCUCAGGGAAGAAACAAUGACGGUACCUGAGGAAUCAGCAUCGGCUAACUCCGUGCCAGCAGCCGCGGUAAUACGGAGGAUGCAAGCGUUAUCCGGAAUUAUUGGGCGUAAAGCGUCCGUAGGCGGUUUUUCAAGUCUGCCGUUAAAGACUACAGCUUAACUGUGGGCCGGCGGUGGAAACUGAGGAACUUGAGUAUGGUAGGGGUAGAGGGAAUUCCCAGUGUAGCGGUGAAAUGCGUAGAUAUUGGGAAGAACACCAGUGGCGAAGGCGCUCUGCUGGGCCAUAACUGACGCUGAGGGACGAAAGCUAGGGGAGCG
RNAcentral lists this ribosomal RNA (379 nucleotides) under uncultured cyanobacterium. RNAcentral describes it as "bacterial SSU rRNA". It matches the Rfam family "Bacterial small subunit ribosomal RNA", at positions 376 to 770 of the family's 1533-position model. Lineage: Bacteria; Bacillati; Cyanobacteriota. The record is from RNAcentral.